GUAGCUAUCACGAACUUCUUGGGGCCAAACGGAGGUCUGAACUUCUCCAAUAUGUUGUUUACGCAACAAAAACAUGACCAUACGUGAUUGACCGAUUCCUCCACCAAUCGUUAGAGGGAAAAGUCCAUUCAACAAAGAUUUGUGCCAAUCAAAGCCUAAGCGGUCUUGGUCACCAGUCAUUUCCACCUGACGUUUUAGGGCCUCUUCAUCCACACGGAUCCCCAUUGAGGAUAAUUCAAAGGCUGAACCAAGUUGGUCAUUCCAAACCAAA
RNAcentral lists this non-coding RNA (271 nucleotides) under Streptococcus pyogenes. Lineage: Bacteria; Bacillati; Bacillota; Bacilli; Lactobacillales; Streptococcaceae. The record is from RNAcentral.